GUAGUUAUCAUAAAAAGAAAACGAUUUCAUAGUUGCACCUCAACAAGUCGGGACACAUCACUAAACCGGUCUGACAUGUGUCAUCUAGGUGAACGUGCACAUCGACCCUGACAAGCUAAUACAAUAAUGCUCAUUUGACAGACGAGGCAGCUGAAGGUCUGAGGGCGAAGCAGCUCCUUCCACAGACGGGGUUGAUGGUGGAGCCAGGGACUCUCUGACCAUGGAAUCCUGCCCUUCUCCUUGCCCUUUGACCCAGUUCUCAGCCCCUGCUGGAUCUAGCAGUCUUCCGGAUGCUCUGGGGUGACGUCACCGGGCUGCCUUUGGCACUAACCCUGCUGUGUGGUGUUGUCUUUAGAACUUACCAGACUGUUUUCUGUGUUGAUUUGCCCAUCAACCUGAUCACACGAGGCUCAGUCUUUCUGAGGUCUCAAGAAUUGUGUGAAUUACGAGCCCUGAGCCACCGUGGAUGAAGUCCAGGCUACUCCAGUGAGAGAGCACUGAGACGCCACCUUGGACGUCCCAUCCAAGUCAAGGUAGCAUGGGCCCUGGUUUCCAUCAGUCUGCAACUGGAUGAGAGACCCCAAGUGAGAACCGCUCAGCUGAGCCUCGUCAACCCACAGAACUCAAACGUGAAGCGAGCACCAGCUACGGGCUGUGGAGGGGGACAGUGUCACGAUCGAGCCAACCUUUACCCAGUGCAAACUCUGUGCCAGGUGACCCCUACCCAGAGUGAUCAGAGCUGGAACAGGGAAUGUACAGGAACACGUGUCAGCCCCGCGGAGGCUCCCGGUCUGUGCAGGAACAUCACGGAAGUCUUCCUGGAGGAGACGAUACUCCGGUGGAGGAUGUAGGAGGGGAGGGCGUUGCAGGCAGGGGGGGCUGUGACGCGAGAACCUGAGGGAGGGGCGCGCACGGAGGGUUGACAAGCUGAUGGCACUGAAUCUGGUUGGAGAGAGGGAAGAAAGUUCUGGAAAGUGGGAAUCUGGACCGAUUUGUUCGCGACCGUGGCCCAGGACCGAGAUCAACGCUGCGCACGUAAAACCCUCGGAAUGAGACAAUGGCGGACAACACGAGGUGUCUCAAGAUAGUGCCAAUGUUCUCUGCCACAGCCGUGGAGACAGGGCCCCUUCUGUGGCCCCCUUGGGCCCCUUGGGGUGCCAGGCCUCUUCAGGAUGUACCUGGGUCUUGAGUGUGCCAAGACUUUGCUCUAACUUGCCCACGGGUCUUGUUGGGUUUAGGAGGAGCCCGGGAGAAUAAGCCAACCUUUGCUGGGCCCUCUCCGUGCUGUUCUCGAAGGUCGCAAGGAAGGGGUGAGGAGUGGGCCUGAGUGCAGCCACCUUCCCACUCCUUCCCCUUCCCCAGGCUACCUGGGACCUGGCUGGGGCUCAGCCUCCUCCCAUCCACACCACCCACUGCUAGAGGUGGGGAGGGGCUUUGAGGGCCACGGCCCCUUCCUCCGCUCGGGCCCAGGGCCUCCAAGGUAACUAUUUACUCCAGUCCCCCUCAGCCAAGCACUCUAUCUUAUCAGCUCAAACACUUCAGAGUUCAGGCCAAGAAGCCAAAGUCAAUUUUGAAAAAGUCUUUAAAAGACCAAACACAAACACCGGGGAGGGUGGAUGCAGGGGGCAAGGGUGGAGAUGAGGGUAAGGAAGGGCUCCUUCCUCCUUUACCAGGCUCAGGAGGACGCCAGGACUCUCCUGCCCAGAUGCCUGUGCCAGACGUUCACCGGAGCGCUGCUCACGUUGGCAGAAGACCGGCCGCCCCCAGCGUCUGUCACUACGACGGGUCAAUAAAUAAUAAAGUGCGUACAGCCCUUAAAAAGAACAAACCACUUCAU
Molecule: long non-coding RNA, 1837 nt
Organism: Leopardus geoffroyi (Geoffroy's cat)
Lineage: Eukaryota; Metazoa; Chordata; Mammalia; Carnivora; Felidae
Exons: 5
Source: RefSeq, a predicted model, not a curated record